UGGAAAUCACCAGGGAUCUCGUGCGUUCCUGGCCAUGGCGUGCCCCAGAUUUCGGAUCCAGCUAUAAAGCCGUGCUCCUAGACUCCCUCCUCUUCUUCCUCUUUCGCCAACGGCACCAUAGAAGUGAAAGCAGAUGAGUGAGCCAGCUAGCGCCGUCGUUGACUCGCGUGCCCGUCGUGCCGCCGCACCGCAUUUGGUGCCCACCGCGGUCGGGUGUCCGUGUGGAGGUCGCGGGAAUCGCCAGUAGGCAGGGAUCGCUCUCGCACGGGACCUAGCGCUGGAGGUCAGCCGUGGUGGGCGAAUUGGCCGUCGGAGUUGGGGAAGAGGGCCGCGGAUACAAGCCUCGCCGCCGAGACCACUGACCAUCUCCUAUGCGGUAAGAACUCUAUCAUCUUGCUCGAAUCGCCCAUAGUAUCGUAUCGCGCCGCGUGUGACCGUGUAGAGAACUUGGGGGCUGGGAAUUGGUUGCCGUGAUGGCUUCGGCAUCUGGGGACCGCACCAUCGCGGUGACUGGAGCACUUGGAGCUCAAUUAGUGAAAUUGAGCUUACGAUUAGAGUCGUCGUGAACUGCGCAUUGUGUUGGUACCCUCGGGUGCGCUUAUGGGGCAUCGGAACACCAAAUGGCAUGCUCGCCGGCGUUCGGCCGCCGCGGGAGGGCGGCGCCGCCACGCGGAUGGCCCAGGAAGGGGAGAGAUGAGCUCGAACCGGCGAUAUCGUUACGGAGGGCUAGGAUUAGUUAAUGUGUGCCCCCCUUCAUGCGAUCAUAUCGCGACCGUUGGAUCGCUGGUGAACGACUCGGAUCAGACCCAGAAGCCCCUUUUAGGUGAUCGAAUCCGAUCCGUAGGAUUUGGAUCCGAUGAUCGGGAUUACAUACCGAUUCACGCGGAUGUUGUUUUAAUCUGGUGCGUACAUCUCAGAUCUGAUGGCCAAUAUCACCCGAUACCCUUUCGCUCUGCUCAUUUACAUAAGAAACCCUAUGAUAUUUGAGAAUGAACCCGCCAUCCGUGGGAGCGGUGCUCUAUGUCUGCAGAUUCUUACCCCUAGACCCCCUAACGUUUCCAGAAAUUGGCGCCCAGUCCAGAGUAGAUUAAAAAUAGUGAAAUAACAUUAGAAAUUCGUUUUUAAUACAAAAAUAAAUCUAUAAACUUGUUUAUUGCAUAGAAAAUUCAUUCUAGCUCCAAAUUGAGCCAUUCCAAUUUCUAAAAUUUUAUAAUAAUAUUCUCUAUCAUUUAGUGUCUCUGUUUAUACAUGAAAACAAUAAAAAAAAAUUUAUCAUUUAAUCCUAUUUUAAGCACAUUAAAUCUUAGAAAAUUCAUAACUUGAAUUCUAUAACUCCAAAUUUAGUGAUUCCAGUUCCUAUGAUUUUAUUUUAAUAUGUAGAUUUUUAUUGUGUAUUUUAUUCACAUGUUUGGUGCAAUGUUAAUUCUUGCUAUACCAUGUAUGUAUUGUGUUGAUACGAGUAGACGAGCAAGCCACUGUAGAUUCUGAGGUUCAGCAAGUAGAAGUAGCUGAGCAGGAGCUCAUUGAAGGCAAGUUGUGCCCUUGAUCACUUACUUUUUCCCAGCCAUGUUCUUAUUAAUUAUAAUGAUCUGCAUAGGAUAAUUUUGAUGGGACCCAAUAUGUAACGCCCUGAAUUUGGGGGUAGAAUUUUUUCUUCUUUUCUCUCACCAAAUUCGGGCGUUACUCUCUUUUCUCUUCCCCGUUUGCUCCUUCUUCCCAAUUUCAAACCAGUAUAGCGGCAGGUGUCCGUGUCACGUAUAAACCAAAACCUAAGUGUCAUGGGUGUUGCAUCAUGCCGAAGCACAUUUCUUUGUCUGAUGUUGAGUGUUCGUCUCGUUCCGUUCCGGAUUUCGGUUCGCGAUUUAAUUCUGUUUAGUGGUCCGCGCUCGUCGUGGGUUUUCGAUCCGCGAAGUGGCCCGGCCCAGCCCAGCCUAGUCCAGCCCAGCCCAGCCGGCCCGGCCCGCCCCGGCCUGCGCGCCCCUGGCGCCCAAACCCCCCAUGCGCCCCCACCCCUCUCUCUCUCUCAUUUGGAUCUCCCGCGCAACAACCUCUCCUCUCCCUCUUCCACCUCUCUCUCCCCGUGGUGCCCUAGGAUUUGGAGACGGCGAUCACCGGAUUUUGGACCCCGAGGUGAGCUCCCCUCCCCUCCCCUUCUUCUCUCCCUCUCCCUCCUCUUCUUCCCCCCGCGCGCGCCCUCCCUUUUCCCCUGCCCGCACGCGCCCCUGCCCGCCCCUCCCCGGUCCCGCGCGGCGGCGCUCGGCCCCGCCCCGGCCUCCCUGGCGGUGCUCGGCUCCCGCUCGGCCCUCCCCGGCGCAGCGGCGCCCGUCCCCGGCCUCCCCUCGCGCGGCCCCGCCCGGUCUCCCUCCCCGAGGCGGCGCUCGACCCCUCCCCCUCCCUCCCCGGCGGCGCUCGGCCCCGUCCCGGCCUCCCCGGCGGCGCUCGGCCCCCCCCGCCCGGCCUCCCUCCCCUCGCGCGCGGCGGCGGCGCCCGCCCCUCCCCCUCGCGCGCGGUGGCGGCGCCCGCCCCCACCCCGGCCCGCGGCGGCGCCCACCCAUCCCCGCCCCUCCCCGGCGCGGCAGCGCCCGCCCCCUGCCCCGGCCCCUGCGCGCGGCGGCGCCCGCCCCGUCCCGGCCCCGUGGCGGCGCUCGCCCCUGCCCCGGCCCCUGCGCGUGGCGCUCGCCCACCCCACCCCCGGCUCGGCCGCCCGCCUCCCGGCGAGCUCGGUCGCCCCUGGCCGGUUCAACCGCCCCCCUGGCCGGUUCAACCGCCCCGGCCCCGGCUCGGCCGCCCGUUCCCCCGUCCCGGCCUCGCCCGACCGUGUCCCCGCUCGCCCGCGCUCGCGGUGAUUAUUUGUUAAUUAGCGUGUUGCGUCGCGCACUUCGUCGCGCAACGGAUUUGUCUAAUUUCAGAUUCUAUCUGUGUGUUGCGUCGUGCGCUUCGUCGCGCGACGAUCCAUUUUUGUUUCAGGUUGUUUAAGGUGUAACGCCGCGUGUGUAUUCACGCGACGUUCCACUUUGGACUCAGUUUAGUCGACGUAUGCCGUCGUGCGCUUCGUCGCGCGACGCUUAACGUCUCCUCAUAACUAAGGCGAAGUGUCUCGUUGCGUGCUCGGUCGCGCGACGAGUCGUUAACUUCUUAAUUUGUUUUAGAGAGCUUUGUCGCGCGUCUCGCCGCGCGACUAUCCUUUUAUUUAUCUCCACCUGCUUAUAAUAAUUAGACAUGAAACAUGACUUUACUUUACGCUAAACAUAGUGUCUGCAUUAAAUUUCCUUCCAUUAAGCGAGUGGUUAAUUUAUAAUCAUGUAACGUGACCGUUUCUCGACUGUCUUGUUCUCUUUCUCUCUUAACUGUAACUGCGAGCCCGCGUGGAACGUCUGUUUACUUACUGCAUUCUAUUGUAUGGUGUACUGUUCUUUUGUAUUAAAUGUGUGGAUGUAUGUGUGUUUGCGCUCGCAUAGAGAACGAUCCGGUCGGAGAACCCGAAGAACUCGCAGGAGAAGCCCCUGAGCAGCAGUCGGUUGGUGGAGGCAAGUGUCCCUUGACCUAUCUCUGUCCUAUUCAUUAUUUAAUUCACCUCCCGCUUUACACAUUUAUGCCUAAGGAUUGACUAGCUUUUGUUAUCCAUGUCCUUGUUUACCUAUUUGGGUUGGAUUAUUAUUGUUUAGCCUUAUGCUAUUGCUCAAACUCUAAUCAAUGAACAUGAUGAGAUUAUCUAUGAUACGCUGUUUUCCCCUUCUUUUAUUAUGAUGUUAUACUUGUGGUCUUCAAGGGGGCUCGAGCGGUUUCUCGAGUGCCUCUCCGUAAGGACCUGUUCUAUGGAUGACCGCCCAGGAAAACAGUGCAACCAUGAGGGUGGAAUGGGAUGCCCUUAGCUGAAUAAUUAGAGGAUCCGGGGUGUAGUUCACUUAGCCGUCGUGCCGUCAAUGGGGCUCGGUGUAUGCGGCUCGCUCUGCCAAGUUUGGGUUCGCCCCUUGGGGAGGAGUGCGGUGCAUUUAGGAAACCUAACGGGUGGCUACAGCCCCGGGGAAUCUUUGUAAAGGCUACGUAGUGAUGCCCUGCUGGGUCACCUUGGUAGUGAUCAAUGGACAGUCAUGAUCUCCGGGCAGAAAGGGAAUCACGGCUUGUGGGUAAAGUGCACAACCUAUGCAGAGUGUUUGAAAACUGAUAUAUCAGCCGUGCUCGCGGUUAUGAGCGGCCAAGGGAGCUCCAGUGAUUAGUGGUACUUGAUCAGAGAUACUUUGGUACAGGUGGUUAUGAGAUUGAUGGUUUUGGUUAUGACUAUGGUGCUGGUAAGUGGUAUUCUUUCCGUUUGGAAAGGGUACAUCGGGUUAACAACUUGGGUUAAUGCUAAAACUUGGCUUUCUAUUAGUAAAUAAUAAUCUGACCAACUAAAAGCAGCUGCUUGACUUAUCCCCACAUACAGCUAGUCCACUACAGCCAAACAGGAUACUUGCUGAGUAUGUUGAUGUGUACUCACCCUUGCUCUACACACCAAACCCCCCCAUCCCCAGGUUGUCAGCAUUGCAACCACUG
This 4533-nucleotide long non-coding RNA is filed under the name Zea mays. RNAcentral's name for it is "long non-coding RNA (ZMAY_LNC000141)". Lineage: Eukaryota; Viridiplantae; Streptophyta; Magnoliopsida; Poales; Poaceae. The record is from RNAcentral.